Molecule: ribosomal RNA, 429 nt
Filed under: Bacteroidota bacterium
Lineage: Bacteria; Pseudomonadati; Bacteroidota
Description: Bacteroidetes bacterium partial 16S ribosomal RNA
Rfam family: Bacterial small subunit ribosomal RNA
Source: RNAcentral
UAGGGAAUCUUCGGCAAUGGGGGGAACCCUGACCGAGCAACGCCGCGUGAGUGAAGAAGGUUUUCGGAUCGUAAAGCUCUGUUGUUAAGGAAGAACGAGUGUGAGAAUGGAAAGUUCAUACUGUGACGGUACUUAAUCAGAAAGGGACGGCUAACUACGUGCCAGCAGCCGCGGUAAUACGUAGGUCCCGAGCGUUGUCCGGAUUUAUUGGGCGUAAAGCGAGCGCAGGCGGUUAGAUAAGUCUGAAGUUAAAGGCAGUGGCUCAACCAUUGUAGGCUUUGGAAACUGUUUAACUAGAGUGCAGAAGGGGAGAGUGGAAUUCCAUGUGUAGCGGUGAAAUGCGUAGAUAUAUGGAGGAACACCGGUGGCGAAAACGGCUCUCUGGUCUGUAACUGACGAUGAGGCUCGAAAGCGUGGGGAGCGAACAGG